CUUGCGCUAAUAGAUGAGCCUAAGUCAGAUUAGCUAGUUGGUGGGGUAAAGGCCUACCAAGGCGACGAUCAGUAGCUGGUCUGAGAGGACGAUCAGCCACACUGGGACUGAGACACGGCCCAGACUCCUACGGGAGGCAGCAGUGGGGAAUAUUGCACAAUGGGCGCAAGCCUGAUGCAGCGACGCCGCGUGAGGGAUGACGGCCUUCGGGUUGUAAACCUCUUUCAGCAGGGACGAAGCGCAAGUGACGGUACCUGCAGAAGAAGCACCGGCCAACUACGUGCCAGCAGCCGCGGUAAUACGUAGGGUGCAAGCGUUGUCCGGAAUUACUGGGCGUAAAGAGCUCGUAGGCGGUUUGUCGCGUCGUCUGUGAAAACCAGCAGCUCAACUGUUGGCUUGCAGGCGAUACGGGCAGACUUGAGUAUUUCAGGGGAGACUGGAAUUCCUGGUGUAGCGGUGAAAUGCGCAGAUAUCAGGAGGAACACCGGUGGCGAAGGCGGGUCUCUGGGAAAUAACUGACGCUGAGGAGCGAAAGCGUGGGUAGCGAACAGGAUUAGAUACCCUGGUAGUCCACGCCGUAAACGAUGUCAACUAGCCGUUGGGAGCCUUGAGCUCUUAGUGGCGCAGCUAACGCAUUAAGUUGACCGCCUGGGGAGUACGGCCGCAAGGUUAAAACUCAAAUGAAUUGACGGGGGCCCGCACAAGCGGUGG
Molecule: ribosomal RNA, 711 nt
Filed under: Ditylum brightwellii
Lineage: Eukaryota; Bacillariophyta; Thalassiosirophyceae; Lithodesmiales; Lithodesmiaceae
Description: partial Bacterial small subunit ribosomal RNA
Rfam family: Bacterial small subunit ribosomal RNA
Source: RNAcentral